UGUGGGUGGUAGCUGGUAUGUUGGUGGAAACUCCAUGCUUCCAUGGAACCAGCUGUAGAGGAGUGGUGAUGCAAUGAGCAUCCUGGAAGUUUAGUUGUCAUUUGUCACCUUUUGGAUAAUGGAGUAGAUUUCUGAAGCUAUUUCUCCUUGUUUGGUGUUCUGCCUGCAAUUUGGACAAGUGGACUUCAGAUUAUGUCUUCGUAGACUGAAAGGCUUGGGACUACUUUGGUUUUCUGGGGGUCCACUUCAGACCCUAGUUGCCUUGGUUUUUCCCAUACCUGGAGAUGUCACCAGUGAAGCCUGGGAAACAGCAAAGAGGGCAGCCUGAUCGUUCAUCUGGAAACUUUGUUCCAGCAUAAGAAGCCUCUCACCCUAAACAUCACAGCUGGGAAUAUGCUGGACCACAACUAAAGCCAGCAUGGCACUGACUCUGACCAAAGGAUUAGCUUCCAGGGGUCCUAGCAAGGUGCAUCACAGUGUCAAGAAUGCACUGCAUUCAGAGAAGUUCAAACUAUGGAUUCCCACCAG
Molecule: long non-coding RNA, 528 nt
Filed under: Homo sapiens (human)
Lineage: Eukaryota; Metazoa; Chordata; Mammalia; Primates; Hominidae
Description: HSALNT0314977
Source: RNAcentral